UCGAGGGCCAGCGAGGAGAAGGAGGCGGGGCAGUGGCCUAUGGUUGCCAGGCUAGCUUAUUUGGAUCGGUGCUCCGGACGCUAAAAGUGUGGGGCUGUUUCUCCCAGACCCCAAGGCCAGGGCUUGGGUUUAGGGGCCGGGGCAGAAGCAGAAGCUGCGGCGCCCGCUUGCACAUUUCCAGACUGCUUCCAGGGCCUUGAACCGGGCCGCAUCUACAGCCCUCGGUCCUCUCUUGCACCCGACUUCCGACCCCAGCCGGACCAGCAGGGCCGCGCUUGGUCGAGCAGUAUCCCCAUUACGGUCACAGACCCUGGUGAUCACCCUUCCCCACUUCCCUGGCCCAGGCCGGACAGAGCCGCGAAGCUCACCCACUAAUCCCUCUAACAGCUGCGUCUUUGCCCUGUUGGUGGUAGUGGUUGGUUACCAUGGUGAAGCUGGCUGCCAAAUGCAUCCUGGCGGGAGACCCGGCUGUGGGCAAGACCGCCCUGGCGCAGAUCUUCCGCAGCGACGGGGCCCACUUUCAGAAGAACUAUACCCUGACAACAGGGGUGGAUUUGGUGGUGAAGACAGUGCCAGUUCCUGACACAGGCGACAGUGUGGAGCUCUUCAUUUUUGACUCGGCCGGCAAGGAGCUGUUUUCUGAAAUGCUGGAUAAACUGUGGGAGAGCCCCAACGUUCUGUGUCUCGUCUACGAUGUGACCAAUGAGCAGUCCUUCAGCAACUGCAGCAAGUGGCUGGAGAAGGCCCGGGCACAGGUCCCUGGCACCUCCCUCCCAGGUGUUUUAGUGGGAAAUAAGACAGAUCUGGCCAGCAGACGAGCAGUGGACCCGGCGCAGGCCCAGGCAUGGGCGCUGGGCCAAGGCCUCGAGUGCUUUGAGACAUCUGUGGUGACUCCAGGCUACAAAGUGUCCUCUAACAGAGCCAGCAGGAGUGCUCAUGGAGCGGGCAAAUCAAGAGCAGCCUGCCACCAGCCUCUUUCGCUGACCUAGGGUGUCCCGCCCUGCGGAACCCCUUCCUACACACCCCGUGUGAGCAAGAGCCGGGAAACAGGCAUUGCAGAGCCCACAGCGACCCUCACCACAGUUCCCAGGGGCUCCUGCCAGGCCCCCCGGCCUUGGCUGUAAUGGAGACCUCAUUGUGCAACCUUCAGAUCUGAUUCUUUGGCUCUUCAAAGGCAGUGGGCUGGUGCACACCCUGGGCUAUCACCUCUGCUCCUCAGGCCGCUCCAGCUGCAGGCUGAAGCUACUGCUGUUCAAUCAUGGUAUGGACUUGAACUCUGAGUCCCCAGCGCGGCCCGCUUCCUGCGGAAGACAUAGGCACUCUGACCUCUCCGAAGGAGAUGGAGAACUAUGAGGCCCCCUUCCGCUGCCUGGCCACGCAGUUCCUUCACCUGUACCGGGAGAAAGUGGAGCUGU
Molecule: RNA transcript, 1415 nt
Organism: Chinchilla lanigera (long-tailed chinchilla)
Lineage: Eukaryota; Metazoa; Chordata; Mammalia; Rodentia; Chinchillidae
Gene: Ift27
Gene name: intraflagellar transport 27
Exons: 8
Source: RefSeq, a predicted model, not a curated record